AUUGAACGCUGGCGGCAGGCUUAACACAUGCAAGUCGAGCGGUAACAGAGAGAAGCUUGCUUCUCUGCUGACGAGCGGCGGACGGGUGAGUAAUGCCUAGGAAUCUGCCUAGUAGUGGGGGGUAACUUGCCGAAAGGUAAGCUAAUACCGCAUACGUCCUACGGGAGAAAGGAGGGGACCUUCGGGCCUUUCGCUAUUAGAUAAGCCUAAGUCGGAUUAGGUAGUUGGUGAGGUAAUGGCUCACCAAGGCCGCGAUCCGUAACUGGUCUGAGAGGAUGAUCAGUCACACUGGAACUGAAACACGGUCCAGACUCCUACGGGAGGCAGCAGUGGGGAAUAUUGGCCAAUGGGGGGAACCCUGAUCCAGCCAUGCCGCGUGUGUGAAGAAGGUCUUAGGAUUGUAAAGCACUUUAAGUUGGGAGGAAGAGCAGUUAACUAAUAUUUGACUGUUCUUCCGUUACCGACAGAAUAAGCACCGGCUAACUUCGUGCCAGCCGCCGCCGUAA
Molecule: ribosomal RNA, 506 nt
Filed under: uncultured bacterium
Lineage: Bacteria
Description: partial 16S ribosomal RNA
Rfam family: Bacterial small subunit ribosomal RNA
Source: RNAcentral